UACGUAGGGUGCGAGCGUUGUCCGGAAUUAUUGGGCGUAAAGAGCUCGUAGGCGGUCUGUCGCGUCGAUCGUGAAAACUUGGGGCUUAACCCUGAGCUUGCGGUCGAUACGGGCAUGACUGGAGUUCGGCAGGGGAGACUGGAAUUCCUGGUGUAGCGGUGAAAUGCGCAGAUAUCAGGAGGAACACCGGUGGCGAAGGCGGGUCUCUGGGCCGAUACUGACGCUGAGGAGCGAAAGCUAGGGUAGCAAACGGG
RNAcentral lists this ribosomal RNA (254 nucleotides) under uncultured prokaryote. RNAcentral describes it as "partial 16S ribosomal RNA". It matches the Rfam family "Bacterial small subunit ribosomal RNA", at positions 524 to 776 of the family's 1533-position model. The record is from RNAcentral.